Molecule: long non-coding RNA, 2894 nt
Organism: Dermacentor silvarum
Lineage: Eukaryota; Metazoa; Arthropoda; Arachnida; Ixodida; Ixodidae
Exons: 3
Source: RefSeq, a predicted model, not a curated record
CUCUUAGUCAAAUACCGUAUAAUGUCCGGCACAUAUGCGGUAUAUUUUCGUUCCAGCGUAAAGUACUGCAUAUAAACGGACUUUCGAGCAAUAUUAUGCGUGACAAUGGCUGCGGCGGCAGGCUAGGCCCGCUAUAUGCGGCCGCGAGCGGACGCAACGCUUAUAUGCAGCCUUGCAAAUUUGGCGCGCAAAAAGCGCGCCGAAGCGUUGAGAGAGCGUUACAAAGCAAAAGCUGUAAGGAGCAGUGAGGGUUAUGCUUUGAGGGAGAAAGUAAAGCGAAAUGCAAAAGGAGAGAACGAAGAGAAACAAGUCGACGCCUCCGCUUUGCUUUGAUGGCGGAGGAGGAGGAAAGGCUGCGCCGACCGGACCGGGAAGGAGCGAGAACAUGGCGUAUGGCGGCGUGCGAGGCGAUUGUUUUCGGCGGUAAUUAUCGUCAUAUCUUUGUACCGGCGACGUUAUGCGACUGUGUUCGUGUUGUGAAGUGAUCUGGCCGCGUCGGUGAACGCUCUCGGUGAUGUCAGUGAUGUUCAAAUCCACCGUUGUUACCGGAAAUUGCAAAAAAGCAGUGCAACUUCGACAACUCGUGUGAGUACGACGGCCACACGGGCGAUCAGCGGCGGCGGGCCGCCAUGUGCGCUGGAUCGGCGGGCCCAGGAGUGCGUGCUGUAGAGCUGCGAACCUGUGCCUAUUUGGAAUAAAGUGGGACGUCAACAAUAAUAAGAACGCCACCCAUGAAAGCAGAACCCCGGGCUCUCCAUUGGAACUUUAGAGUGGACCACCGCACCGGUACGACGGUCACCUGGAGGCCCAGGAGUCAUCAGGACAAAUAACUCUGAAUAUAUAUAAAUGAUAUCUAAUGUGUUUGUGAUGACGGAGCAAUUAUGUCAAAAUGAAACACAUAUUUAAAAAUGUUUUUUUUCUCUUGUUAGCAAUGUAUUCAUAAAAAACUUCACUUGGAUCUCUCUGCAUUCACCCAACCACUGCGGCAUGUAUACAGAGUGUGCUCCGCAAGACAAAAGAUUUUUUAUGUUGCUUGGCUCCCAAAAGAGUUCUUCAAUUCAAAUACGUACAAGGUGUGUUCGAAAAGAAACCAAACUUUUGCUUUAACAUCUUUAUUGCUUAUUGUACAACAUUUUAUGCAUGGCCCCUUCAAAGUAGUCCCCUCUUCUGGCAAUACAUUGUUCCUAUCAUCUCAUCCAUUUUUUGAAAGCCUCCUGGAACACUUUUUCUGGGAUGGCGCGUAGGUCUCGUGUCGCAUUGUCUUGAAAUUUCUUUUAUGGGUUGGAAACGACGUCCUUUCAACGUGAUUUUAAGUUCGGGAAACAGGAAAAAGGCUUCUUGGGCUAGGUCUGGAAAGUACGGUGGAUGGGGCACGAGAGUGUGAUGUUUUGCUAGAUAGCCGCAGACAAGGAGAGACGCGUGAACUAGGUCAUUGUCAUGUUGCAACAAUUAAGUCUGGGUUUCCCACAAUUCAGGCUUCCUACUGGACACAGCAUCCCACAAACGCGCUAGAAUUCCUUGGUAGACCGCCUUGUUUACCAUCUCACCACGUGGUACAAAUUCCUGAUGGACUAUAUCUUUCCAGUCGGAAACCACCACCAUUACCUUGAUUUUUUUGCUGACUCUUGCGUGCUUUCUUGGACGAGAAGACUGUUCGCCCACCCACUGCGACGACUGCACUUUUGUUUCAAUAUCAGAGCCAUAAACCCACGUCUCAUUGCCUGUUGUGAUGUUACAGAAGUUUUCAUUAUCUCUGCCAGUGGCAUGCAGUUCCCGGCUUAUUUCAACACAGGUGUUUCUGAUCGACAGUCAACAAACGCGGCACGAAUUUUGCACUGACACGAUGCAUCUCAAGUUUGUCAUUCACAAUAGGAUGCCAUGAUCCUAUGCUGAUGCCCACUUCGUCAGCUAGUUCUCAAACAGCUAAACGACGAUUUCCACGAAUCACAGCACGCACUCUCUCGACAUGGUCAUCAUCUGUUAAUGUGGAAGGUCGUCCAGGCUUGGGAUCGUCACCAACCGACAUUCUGCCUUGUUCAAAAUGCUUAAACUACUCAUAGCACUGAGUGCGACUCAUACAGUUUUCCCCAUAUGCUUGGUUGGGCAAUUGAAAUGUCUCUGUGAAAAUUUUGCCAAGUUUGUAGCAAAAUUUCACACACACACGUUCUUCUACAUCCUCUUUCGUUGUUACUUUGGCACUAAUCCAACAAACAGCUUGUACACGUGCGCACUUCGGCGGCAGUAGCUCACCAACCAAUGGUCAGAGCAAAACGCGGUAAAUGGCAGUUUGUUGUCUAAACCCGCUGCUACAUGCGUUCAGUAGCCGCAGCGUGCUCUUUGCCGGUUUGCGUGCUAUUUCAAAAGUUUGGUUUCUUUUUGAACACACCUUGUACAUUAACAUGCAGCGCUUUCAUUCUUUCUUUUUUUCAUUCUAGUCAUGGAUAGCUAUUUUUCAUUAAAGCUGGGAGCACUUAGCUGUCUAAAUUCCUCAUUAGAUAACUUAUCUAUAGAAAAUGUGGCCUUACAGUAAGUUUAGUACAUAUGUGUGUUCUGUUCCUCAUGUUGUAGUUAUCUGCUAUUUUAUGUAGUUUUGGUUAUAAACAAAACUUUCUUUAAUGAACAAGAAAACGGUAAACUGAGAGGCCCAACUCUUGUUGGUCGCAACUGCAGGAAGUACGUGCAAGUUAAUGCGUUAUGCUUGUUUCACAUUUUAAAAGCUGCAGGCACUAACACUGCCUAUCUGCUUUUGUAUUUCCUGUAGCAGUGUGGCUUUUAUUUGUUACUGUCAGAGCUGGGUAUAUAAGUCCCCAUUCUGUGUUGAAAACCUACAGUGAAACUAUGCUGGACACUUUUCACUUUGUUGUGUUGUAAAUAAAUCAUUCUCUUUUGAAAAA